Long non-coding RNA from Oncorhynchus keta (chum salmon), 537 nucleotides. RefSeq lists it as uncharacterized. The transcript is spliced from 3 exons. Lineage: Eukaryota; Metazoa; Chordata; Actinopteri; Salmoniformes; Salmonidae. The record is from RefSeq and is a predicted model, not a curated record.
GGAGGGAGGAUAAGUGAUGUGAUGGAGGGAGGAUAAGAGGUGUGAUGGAGGGAGGAUAAGAGGUGUGACGGAGGGAGGAUAACUAGUGUGAUGGAGGGAGGAGUAGAGGUGUGAUGGAGGGAGGAUAAGAGGUGUGAUGAUGGAGGAUAAGAGGUGUGAUGGAUGGAGGAUAAGUGAUGUGAUGGAGAGAGGAUAAGUGGUGUGAUGGAGGGAGGAUAAGUGGUGUGAUGGAGGGAGGAUAAGAGGUGUGAUGGAUGGAGGAUAAGUGAUGUGAUGGAGAGAGGAUAAGUGGUGUGAUGGAGGGAGGAUAAGUGGUGUGAUGGAGGGAGUAUAAGAGGUGUGAUGGAUGGAGGAUAAGUGAUGUGAUGGAGGGAGGGGAAGAGGUGUGAUGGAGGGAGGAUAAGAGGUAAGAUGGAGGGAGGAUAAGAGGUGUAAUGGAGGGAGGAUAACUAGUGUGAUGGAGGGAGGAUAAGAGGUUUGAUGGAGGGAGGAUAAGAGGUGUGAUGAUGGAGGAUAAGUGAUAUGAUGGAGGGAGGA